UGAAACACACAAUCUGUCUUGGUACCUCAAAGUACCAUCAUCUCCCCCUUAUUCAAAGGCCAUCGUCUUAUACUUGCAGAUCCGUCUCUUUUUGUUGGGAUCCAAAUAACUUUCCUUAUUUUCUGCAAUUCUUUGCACUCUACAUCAAUAACGACUCAAUUUCCAACAUACUUCUGAGUUAGGAAAAACUAAAUUAUUCACAUAACAGAAAGCUAAUGUAUUCA
This 224-nucleotide long non-coding RNA is filed under the name Nicotiana benthamiana. Its description in RNAcentral is "long non-coding RNA (NBEN_LNC015702)". The record is from RNAcentral. Lineage: Eukaryota; Viridiplantae; Streptophyta; Magnoliopsida; Solanales; Solanaceae.